Molecule: ribosomal RNA, 968 nt
Filed under: Staphylococcus aureus
Lineage: Bacteria; Bacillati; Bacillota; Bacilli; Caryophanales; Staphylococcaceae
Description: partial 23S ribosomal RNA
Rfam family: Bacterial large subunit ribosomal RNA
Source: RNAcentral
GGGUGAGAAUCCCGUCCACCGAUUGACUAAGGUUUCCAGAGGAAGGCUCGUCCGCUCUGGGUUAGUCGGGUCCUAAGCUGAGGCCGACAGGCGUAGGCGAUGGAUAACAGGUUGAUAUUCCUGUACCACCUAUAAUCGUUUUAAUCGAUGGGGGGACGCAGUAGGAUAGGCGAAGCGUGCGAUUGGAUUGCACGUCUAAGCAGUAAGGCUGAGUAUUAGGCAAAUCCGGUACUCGUUAAGGCUGAGCUGUGAUGGGGAGAAGACAUUGUGUCUUCGAGUCGUUGAUUUCACACUGCCGAGAAAAGCCUCUAGAUAGAAAAUAGGUGCCCGUACCGCAAACCGACACAGGUAGUCAAGAUGAGAAUUCUAAGGUGAGCGAGCGAACUCUCGUUAAGGAACUCGGCAAAAUGACCCCGUAACUUCGGGAGAAGGGGUGCUCUUUAGGGUUAACGCCCAGAAGAGCCGCAGUGAAUAGGCCCAAGCGACUGUUUAUCAAAAACACAGGUCUCUGCUAAACCGUAAGGUGAUGUAUAGGGGCUGACGCCUGCCCGGUGCUGGAAGGUUAAGAGGAGUGGUUAGCUUCUGCGAAGCUACGAAUCGAAGCCCCAGUAAACGGCGGCCGUAACUAUAACGGUCCUAAGGUAGCGAAAUUCCUUGUCGGGUAAGUUCCGACCCGCACGAAAGGCGUAACGAUUUGGGCACUGUCUCAACGAGAGACUCGGUGAAAUCAUAGUACCUGUGAAGAUGCAGGUUACCCGCGACAGGACGGAAAGACCCCGUGGAGCUUUACUGUAGCCUGAUAUUGAAAUUCGGCACAGCUUGUACAGGAUAGGUAGGAGCCUUUGAAACGUGAGCGCUAGCUUACGUGGAGGCGCUGGUGGGAUACUACCCUAGCUGUGUUGGCUUUCUAACCCGCACCACUUAUCGUGGUGGGAGACAGUGUCAGGCGGGCAGUUUGACUGGGGCGG